Molecule: long non-coding RNA, 16337 nt
Filed under: Sorghum bicolor (sorghum)
Lineage: Eukaryota; Viridiplantae; Streptophyta; Magnoliopsida; Poales; Poaceae
Description: long non-coding RNA (SBIC_LNC014726)
Source: RNAcentral
CAGGUUCUUCAAUUAAUAAUCCUGAGUUCUUUAAUUACUUUUAUUUACAUUCAAGUUAUUUAUUGGAUUCCCGCUUGCAUCAAGUGCUCUAAUCUUUGCAACAUUAGAGUAGUAAUUAAUAGAUUAGACGUGGUGUUUAGUCUUGCAAUUACCUGGAAUUGCACCUAAUCCUGCGGAUUGUUGUGGUAGCCUUAGGGUAGUGACAGCCCUAACGGUCGACGUAUUCCACCUCGUUCGGAUCGGUGUUUGUAGGACCGUAGUCAGACCUUCCUAGCCCCCUUCUCAUCUCUUUCUGUGGUUAGUGCUCUGAUGUCCCGAUAUAGAUAAUCUUGAAGUAAUUCUUGAUUCUUAGAUCAACUAGAGAACUCUCAGGAAAUUUCCUCUCUUCCCACCAAAAACAAUUAUAUAGUUAUCCCUGGGCGAUCUUGAUUCUUAAUUAGUACACUCACGUUCUCUGUGGAAAAUCGAUACUAUGGAAUACUCCCGGGUGAAAGCUACAUCGGUAUCCGUGCGCUUGCGGAUUUUUCUGUUUGCGUUUAAAAUACCCAACAGUGCUGCCAACAUUCAAAUACACCUACGCCACCUGCUAGCUACAUCAGAAGAAAUUAUGUUAAAAUCCACCUUGGGGGAGAGCACCUCUAUUUAUCCAGCUAAGUGUUUCUACUCACAUUUAUACCUUACUCAAAUAAUAAAAAAUGCAUAAUCAUAAAAACCUAAUUAAACAUUUUGUGCUUAUAUAUAUCUUUGCUUAGUUUGCUAAAUAAAUAAAUAAAGUGUCCAUGCCAAACUGAACUUCAAUGAUAAAGUCUUACAUGGAUAUGAUGAAUAGUUGCUCUGCCAAGUACCUAGUUUUCAAAUUUGAGCUCUCUCUCAAGUUUAGGCAUAACUGUUAUAAUUUAAAACUUGCUCUAAACCUGAAUUUGCGGAAAGAGUCCCUGAUCAAAAGUCUAAGUCGUUAACAGAUAUGAUAUGGAAAGGUUGAGCUGAUGUUUAUCUGUUCCUAGACAUGCUUAUUAGACUAUGAACCAUACAUUUACUUUUUACUACUUAUGAGCAUUGAGUGUGGUCAAGCUGUGUAGACCCUUAGGAGCUUGUCAUGUGGUUAAAAUCAAGAUUCACUUGCACGUUCACUCAUACAUGCUACUUCUACUCUGGAAGUACGCAUCCACAUACAUCCACUCAUUUCCAUAUCCAGAUUCACCCAAAAUUAUUCUACUCCUAUCUAGGAGAGAAUAGCCAAAAACAUUAUCCUAUCCUUAUUAUUCCCCGUGAAAUAAAUGCUCGAGAUAUUUUGGUUACUACCACUUGCUACAUUAUUCCAGGAGGUUGAGUGCUCUGAAAAAAAGUGAAUACGAGGAAAUAAAAAGGGGCAAGUGCCCGAAACCUCGAAAAAAAGAAAAAAAAGUGAGACGAGAGGUAAAAAUGGACAAGUGUCCGACAAUAGAAUUAGGGGUACAAGAUACCCACCUGAGAGAAAAGGAAAAAGAAAAUAUAGAGCAUUUCAUUCCCCUCAAAAAGCUUCAAAGUGCAAGAAAGGUAUGUAUCCCCUCAAAAGAGCAAAAGUAGAAUUAGACUUUCACCAUUAUUUUCACCAUUAUCACUAUUCAUUCGCCACACAUGCACAUCUUGAUUUGACUUAUUGACUUAUUCUUUUGGAUCCAUGGUUUGACUAUGCAAUAAGUGUCUUGUAAGUAUGUAUUAGCUGACUCCCACCUAUGAGCUCCAGAUAUCAAAACCUUAUUAGAGUAGGGUGAGAAAGAAGGCAAUACCACUAUGCCUCAUACCAAAAAUACCACAUACUUUGAGAGAAGGCAUACACCAUUACUGCCUUGGUAUGGAUCCAGAAAUACCACAAAAGAGAGACUAGAGAGAGUCAUACAAGGAAUUUCUGAGUUUUAUUUGAAAAUCUGCAAAAACUCCAGAGCUAUAGUUAAUCGAAGGACAAGAGACAUGGCGCUUGACUAGACCGUUCUAUCUUUUAACUGCUCAAGACAUAAGUGAUGGUUGCAAGCCCCAUGGUGGAAGGUAAAAUGAGUAAGUUCAAAUCUUAACAGUUUACCCUAACCCAGAGAUGAGAUCUUGUUUGAACGCAUGUGUACCUUUAAGGCAAGAAACCACUUUAGAAACUCUUGAGUCCAUCUUUGCUCAGGGACGAGCAAAGGUUAAGCUUGGGGGAGCUUGUUGACGGUCCUUAAUGCUCACAUUUAACCGUCAACUAAUCAUGAAAAAGGAUCCAAAUGCAACCGACACCUAGACUUAGGGUUUCAUCUGACAGAUUUCCAUGAGUUUUGGUGUUUAUCUAUUUCUACAGGGGGUUAUCAGAAAAUACGAAGGAAAGGCCCACAUGUCGGGUUUACAUAGAGAAUUAAUGUGUGCGGUAAUUUUCUAUAAUCAAGAAGACUCUAGAAGCCACUCGACCGAAGCGGAGCCGAGACGGGCCUGGGACCAGGGCGCCCGUCCUUGACCCUAGGGUGCCCGCCCUGGUACAUGCACCAAUCACAGAAUGAAGUACACCAUUACAAAGAUCUCGUCGAGCUUAUCGAAAUGCAUAUAUUAUUUGCUAUAUUUGGAGUUCGGAAUCAAGAGAUAUUAAUAAAAGAAGGACUCCACAUAAAAGAGCUGCGGGAUUAAUUGGACCCAAAUCAGAUUUUGGUCCAUUAAGGCCUAUGUGCAUUUGUAAUACCCGAUUUUAAGGACAAAACCAGAUAUACACCAUAUGUGAGUCUUAGAAGUCAAAUCUCACAUAUAGCUACAAAUAACGGGUAAUAUCAAAAGACAAUGCGUAAAUUAUAACGUACUUAGUGUAAAAGAUAUAACCUUUGAUAGCAACAGCGGACAAACAACUCCAAACUUCGGGUAUUAACUUCUCUCUACAGGAUCCAACUGACUGGUUGAUCACAAGCCUAAAACAUCUCCUAAAGUGUGCGGGAAAUUGCAAGAGAGAGCACAUAUCGUACUCAACAAGUAUAGGGGUUCAUGAGGCUCAAUAAGCUGACACUGGUUUGACUGCAUUUAGCUUUUAUAUGUGAAUAGCAUAUUUAAUCAUUGGAUAGAAAUAUCAAGGUAGCAUAGUAAAUCCCAUAACCACAUGAUCAAUUGUAUACAAGAAUUAUGAAUAACACAUAUAAACAACAUAAUAAACCAUCAUUUAUCAUCAUUAAUCAUGUUCAUCAGUGUCCGUCUAUUCCGUCAGUUUUCCGGGCCGCCCGUAUCCAUGGGCACGGCUAGUAUACCAGAUUUAACACUCUACAGAGGUUGUACAUCUUUACCCAUGAGUCGUGGUUUACCCUUUCGCCCGAGGUUGCAAGUCUCUUAACCCCCUUCCUAGGGAGGUCGGCAGGGAUCACUAUGAAGCCUUACAAAGGUUUUGUCUAACAAGUUAGGCCAUUAGAUUCACUCGGUAGGCAGAUAUAGAGCCUCCCUUCCAUGGCACAUAACCCGCAGCCUAUACACAUGGACAGAGGCCACACUAUACCCAACGUGUCUAGCCAUUCUUACGCCAUUUAAGGUAACCACUAACAAGCUAGAAAAGGGUCCUCAUACUGAGCUAAAACCAGAGCCAUAUAGCCCUCAUCGUUGUACGAGUUGUCCCAGCUUUUGCCAAGGGAUAAGUCCUUAUGGAGGGUCAAGAUCAAUCUAGCAAAAGCUAGAGUUCUUUCCACCCUUUAUGUUCAAGUUGCGAGAAAGCUUAUUUUAUUGUUUAUUGUAUAUCUAAAUAUUCAUGUUACAAGAUCAUGGAUUAUUAAUCAAGCACUAGCAAGAACUACCCAAAUGCAUAUCCAAAUAGGUAAUCAAGGAAUUCAGGAUAACAAUCAUCUAUGAUUUGGCCAAGGUCAUCAAGGUGGACACAUGCAUAUGAUAAAUAUUGUAUUAAUUGUGUAUAGGUAACAAGGAUGAUCCAAGCUAUACUUACCUUGAUCAAAGCUCUCCUGAGCCUGCUGCUGGUCUUCAAAAGAUUGACCUCGAUCACCAACGUAUCACUCACCGUCUAUACCGAUCGUCAAUCAACAACACGCAAUCUAAUAUAGACAAUCAUACACGAAGCAAACAAGCUAUAAUUAGAACAAUACACCAAACAGUGGUAAAACAAAUAUAAAAGUUUAUCAAAAUAUUCUACGCAGCACUACGAUCACACAAACGUAAAGAUCACGAAAAUCGAAGUUAAAACGUAGAAGAUAUGAAUUUUCUAAGAUUUUAUGGAGAAAAGAAAUUAAUUAAUUAAAGUCACGAAAAUAAAAAGUUUUAAACUGAGAAAACCAUUUUUCUAACAUGUAGAGCUCAUGAAAACGAACCUAACGCAAUUUGAAUGGGUCAAAUCGGAGUUAGAAUGAAUAUUUUAUAGCCAAAAGAAAUCCAGUGGCAAACUUGUAAUUUGAUGAAAACGUAUUUUGAGCGAAACCCGAGAUAAAAUACGUUUUCUAAAGGACAUAGCGUGUUUCUGGAAAGGCGUAAAGGACUGCGGGUUUAUUUAGAAAAACUCCGAGGGCUCUUUAUCAAAAUAUACCCCGAAGAGGUAUCUUCUAAUCUCGGCCCUUGGUUUUGGAUCGGAUGGCUCAGAAUGAUUCCAGGGGGGUGAGGGGAGUUCCCUGGCCAGAACAGAGGGAGUCCACGGUGGCUCCAUGGCCGGAAAAGAGCAGAGCUCGCCGGAGUUGCUGGAGAAGGCACUAGGAAGCUCGGUUUUCGACGGGAAAAGUUCCGGGAGCAAGAGAGGACCCUCACGAACUCACCUGGGGGUUAUCGAAGCUCGGGGAGGUCUCGGGAGAGGCGCGCGACGCAAACCUCGGACAGGAGUUUCCCUGGACACUUCGGCGACCUGCGACGAGUGACACAGAGCAUGAAUUCACGAGGGGUAAGACUCAGGGGCUUCGCAAACGCAGCACGAAGCUCGGUAGAAAGGUUACGGUGCUCUGGACGCAGCAGGUGGCGAAACCCACGACGGCGGCGAAUUCGUUCGUCGGAGAGAUCCGAACCGUGGCGAGAGAGCUGCUGGGGCAGCUUCACGUCGCGUGAAACAGAAGAGAGGGUCGAGAGGGAGAGCACAGGGCUUUAUUGACCUGGAGAAGAUCUCCUAACGCGCGAAAUCCUGGCCUGAGCGGGAUUCGGUUUCCACUGAGAGCCCGGGGUCGGUCUGGACUCGAGGGAGAAGAAAGGAAGAGCGGGAUUCGGUUUCUUUUUUUUCCAAAACAUUUUUCCAAAUAGAGUUUUGUGUGCAAAUAAUUUUUAACUAAAAGCAACAUGCAUAACAUAAAAUAUGCUCCAGCAUGAAUGCACAAUCAAGGUUGCUAAACUUACGCUAAAUUUUAUUUUCCACAAAAAAUUAUUUAAGCACUAAAUUUAAAUGCUCACAAAAAUAUACUUAAUUAAAUCAAAUUAAAUCCUAUUAAUUGAAAUCAAAUUUUUGGGUGUUACAGCAUUUUAAUGAGAUAUGGUGGAAAGUUUAGUACCACAUCGCCUGCUGAACCAAAAACGCACAAAGGAGGAGGACUAUAUAAGCAAGGCCCCUGGCCCCUGGAGGAGAACACAUCAAUAUAGAGUUGAGAGGUGCCCUCGAAGGAUAACCUUUCCUCUAUAGAGAAUUAGGGCUAGACAUUCCAAUGUAGUAGAUUAGUUCUAGUCGGGAGUUAGGUAGAGCGGAGCUGCGCUCCGGUUCUGGAGAAGUCUUCAGAGUUUUGGUAUGUCUUUAUAUUUAUUGUAAGACUUAUCCUUUAAUAUAUUUAUCUUCUCUAUUUACUUUUAUGCCUUUAUUAUUAUCGAGUAGUGUAGUUGUUAUAUUUUGGCAUAGGAUCUCCGUUCGGAUCGAGUGCUCUAGUUAUUCAUGGUAAUUAGAGUAGUAAUCGUUAGUGUAGACGUGGUGUCUAUACUAGAGGUUACCUGAGGUUGCACCCAGUCCCGCGGAUUGUUGUGGUAGCCCUAGGGUAGUGACAGCCCUAACGGUCGACGUAUUCCACCUCAUUCGGAUCGGUAUUUGUAGGACCGUAGUCAGAGCUUCCCAGCCCCCUUCUCAUCUCUUUCUGUGGUUGGUGUUCUAAUGUCCCAAAGUGCUAAUAUGUGAUUGCUAUAUCUAUUCAUUCUUUGUUAUCAUAGAACUGAAGUAAUAGAGAAGUAUACAGGAAUCCAGGUCUCUCCCGUUGUCCUCCCGCUAUGGCUAUCUACGCAUUUAUCAUAGAAUUCUCACCUUUAUAUUAUUACCUAUCAUAUAUCAUUUACCCCUACUUUAGUCUAGUUGGUUUAUUAAAUUAGUAGAUCCAUGAUAGUAAGUUAUCAGAUUCUUUGACCUUAGCUUCCCAGUGGUAAAAUAUAAAUAACGAUACCUGGAAUACUCCCGGUAAAAUGCUACGAUGAUGUUCUGUGCGCUUGCGGAAUUUUUCUUAUUCUUAUUGCACUUAACGAAUGUCAACACCUUCCUUGUUCUGAAACUUUCUCAGUUCAACAUGGGCAACCUAAUCUUGCUUAUCCUCAUCAUGAAAAUAGAAGGUCUCUACACAACUAAUAAAUCCUUCUAUUAUUGUGGGCUCAUCAAAGAUUGCUGGAUUAGCAUAACUGUAGUGUGAUUCAAUAAAUAAUAUGUCAAAUGUAGUGGAGAAUCAAGUCUUCCAUUCAUCUUCUUGUCAAUAACAACAAUUACCUCCUUGAACUGAGACUCAUUAUUGCACAUGGCCUCCUUGAUCUCUCUAUGCCUUUAGUAGUUCUCCAUAAACGAAACCCAUGGAUGGCUUCACAUCCCCAUCAACCAAGCGGAGAACAUUGAAUAGUGGAUCAAAAACACUCAUUGUUAGCUUCACAUCUUUCUAGAAGUUUGGAUUCAAUAUAAUGGUUGUGGCAUCUUUUCCUUUCUUUGAUUUUACAUCCCUCGGUGAGUCCCACCUACUAUGAACCACUAUCUUUCUUAGCCGGUCCUUCUUCUCUAGUAUGCUAUUCAAUGUGAGAAAAAUUGAAGCAAACCUAGUCACUCCUGGUCUUACUAUCUCUUUCCUCUCUGUGAAGUAUCUCAUGCAUUCUAAUGUUCUUGUGUGCCCAUAGACAAAUAUAGUUAAUGCCUUUGCUUGCUCAAUCACCUUCUUGAACCGAGCCAAAUUGCCAAUUCCUUCCAGCAUCAGGUUUAAUGUGUGAGUUACACAAGAGGUCCAAAAUAUUUGUGGUCUCUUCUCAAGCAAUAGCUUCUUUGCUCCCAUGUUGUUAGAGGCAUUGCAUAUCACUACUUGCACCACAUUUUCUAGACCAAUGUCUUCAAUUGCUUUGUCCACUAGUUCAAGGACGACUUCACUUGUGUGUGACACAUGUGACAUCUCUUUUGAUCUAAUAAAACUGGUUCCAUUACCACAAUUAGUGUAUAGAUUCAUUAUGCUUCUCCUCUUCCUAUCUGACCAAGCAUCGGUCAUAAUAGAGCACCCAUUCUUGAUCUUCUUGGCUUCACGUUAUUGUAGCAAACUCUUGGUUCUUGCAUAUUCUUCUUCCAGCAAUCUCUCUCGUAGAUCAUACUGACUUGGAGGUUCAAGUCCAGCCCCAAAUUGUCUAAUUGCUUCACACAUCUGCUUAAACUCAUUGUUGUCACAUGCGUUGAAUGGUAUUGCUACCAAUGUUACAAAAAAAGAAGGUUAAUUAGUGUUUAGUACAGCUAUAAUAGCAUCUAAUGAAUUCUAAAAUAUAAAUACAGAAUAGGAAAUUACCAUGAGUAUAGACCCAUCUUGCAAUAUAUUUAUGCACCUCAUGUGUUCUUUCUUUCCAAAGCUCUUUGUUCAGCUUUUGUUGAGUCAAAGAUUCAGAUUUGGUUGCUUUAGGAUCAAUAGCAUGUGUCCAUUUGUCAAUGGGUCCUAAUUUGUGAGGCUCUGAACUUCCAAUACAAGUGACUUCCUCUGACUCUCCACUUCCAACCCGAGAAACAUUCAUUUCCUCUCUAAGUUCUAGCUCACGAACAGUCUUCUCCUCCCUUUUCCUUUUUGCAUCAUCUAGUGCUUUCUUGCACUUCUCUUUAGCCUCCUGUGUGGUGGCCUUGCAUUUUGCCACAUUCUUUCCUUCAUGGGCCACAUGUUGCUUCAACCUUUAAAUCCCUCCUUGCAUCACUUUGUCAUAGAGUUUGCACUUCACCUUGUCCUUGUUGGUAGGAUCAACAAGAACCCCAUAUUCCCAUCCCACAUCGUCUAAAUUCCUUCUCACGAUAUUCGCUCCCUCGGUUUCAAGUGUAGAUGCAGCUUCUGUUGUUGACAUCCUACAUUCAAGAGUUCAGUGACCACACAAUCUAGAAUCCACACAUUCAUAUUCAGAGUUCAGUGAGCGCACAUUUAGAUUGACACUUUAGUGAGCAGUGAGCACACAUAAUACAGAGAAUCAGAUACAUACAUUCAGAUUCAGGCAAUCAUAGAAUACACAUACAUACAUGCAGAUUUAGAUUCAUUCAUUUUAGAGAAUCAGAUUUAGUGUAAUACCUGAUUUUAAGGAUAAAACCAGAUAUGACCAUAUGUGAGUUUUAGAAGCCAAUUCUCACAUAUAGCUACAAAUAAGGGGUAGUAUCCAAAGACGAUGCAUAAAUAUAUAACGUACUUAGUAUAAAAGAGAUAACCUUCGAUAGCAAACAGCGGAUAGUCAACUCCAAACUUUGGGUAUUAACUUCUCUCUACAGGAUCCAACUGACUAGUUGAUCACAAGCCCAAAACUUCUCCUGAGGGGUGGGGGAAAUAGCAAGAGUGAACACAUAUCGUACUCAACAAGUAUAACCAGGGGUUCAUGAGGCUCAAUUAGCUGACAUUGGUUUGACGGUGUUUAGCUUUUAUAUGUAGAUAGCAUAUUUAGUCAUUGGAUAGCAAAUAUCAAGGUAGCAUAUUAAAUCCCAUAACCACAUGAUCAAUGUAUACAAGAAUUAAGAAUAACACAUAUAAACAACAUAAUAAACCAUCAUUUAUCAUCAUUAAUCAUGUUCAUCAGUGUCCAUCUAUUCCGUUAGUUUUCCGGGCCACCCGUAUCCGUGGGCACGGCUAGUAUACCAGAUUUAACACUCUGCAGAGGUUGUACAUCUUUACCCAUGAGUCAUGAUUUACCCUUUUGCCCGAGGUGAUCAGCCUCUUAACCCACUACCAAGGAAGGUCGACAGGGAUCACUAUGAAGUCUUUCAAAGGUUCGUCUAACAAGUUAGAGCCGCUUGGUUUCAUUAGUCAGUCCAUGUGAUCCACCCCUAGGAAUCCACGGUCUGCUAUUCCCCAAUUGCGCCACAUGGGUAACCGCUAACGAGCUAGAAAAUUACUCAUACUUGACUAAAGCCAGAGCCAUAUAGCCCUCAUGGUUGUACGAGUUGUCCCAGCUUUUGCCAAGGGAUAAUUCCUUAUGGAGGGUCAAGAUCAAUCUAGCAAAAGCUAGAACUCUUUUCAUCCUUUAUGUUUAAGUUGCUAGAAAGCUUAUUUUAUUGUUUAUUGUAUAUCCAAAUAUUCAUGUUACAAGAUCAUGGUUUAUAAUCAAGCACUAGCAAGAACUACCCCAAAUGCAUAUCCAAAUAGGUAUCAAGGAAUUCAAGAUAACAAUCAUCUAUGAUUUUACUAGGGUUGUCAAGGUGGACACAUGCAUAUGAUAUAUGUAUUAAAAGUGUGUAGGUAACAAGGAUGGUCCCAAGUUAUACUUGCCUUAAUCCAAAUGCUCUUGUUGAUCCUGCUGGUCUUACUAGUUGCCAAAGCUCUGAUCUUGAUCACCAAAAACUGCUCUCCGACUAAGCUCGAUCAUCGAUCAUCAACACACAAACAAUCAGAGACAACAUACACGAAGCAAUCAAGGCUACAAUUAGAACAGUACACCAAUCAUAUAAAAACAGUAUGAAAAGUUUAUAAAAUGAUUCUAUGCAUCGCUACGAUCUCAAAGACGUAAAGAUCACGAAAAUUAGAAUUAAAACGGAGAAUAUAUGAGUUUUCUAAGAUUUUAUAUAGAAAAGUAAUUAAUGAAUAAGGUCACGAAAUUAAAAAGUUUCAAACUGGUGAAUUAAGUUUACUAACAUGUAGAGCUCAUUAAAAUGAAUCCAACACAAUUUGAAUGGAUCAAAAUGGAAUUAAAAUGAAUAUUUUAUGGCUAAAAUAAAUUCAGUGGCAGUUUUGUAAAUACCAGAAAGCGUAUUUUGAAGUAACCCGAGACAGAUUACGUUUUCAAAACGACAAAACGUAUUUUCUAACUACGUGAAGGACUGCGUGUUUGAUAUAUAAAAAGUCCAGGGGCUCUUUAGAAAAACGUCCAGCGUAUCCUUGAUUUCUGGCCGUUGGAUCACGACUAAAUGGCUUGGAUUAGAUCUGGGAAGAGAGAAAGAGAGGUGGCCUGGCGGAACAGAAACUCCAGCCGGCGAUCCACCAUUGUCGGCAUGAAAAGGUCACCGGAGUUCAAAGAAAAAUACGCUAGAGGCCACUAAUCGAUGCACCGAGAGCAUGAGCAGAUAGAGGGGGUCAACGUGAGCUUACUAUUGACGGUCCUUAAUGCUCACAUUUAACCAUCAACUAAUCAUGAAAAAGGAUCCAAAUGCAACCGACACCUAUACUUAGGGUUUCAUCUGAUAGAUUUUCACGAGUUUUGGUGUUUGUCUAUUUCUGCAGGGGGUUAUCAGGAAAUACGAAGGAAAAGCCCACACAUCGGGAUUACAUAGAGAAUUAAUGUAUGCAGUAAUUUUCCAUAAUCAGGAAGACUCUAGAAGCAACUCGACCGAAGCGGAGCCGAGACGGGUCUUGGGUCGGGGCGCCCGCCCUUGAUCCUAGGGCGCCCGCCCUAGUACAAGCACCAAUCACAGAAUGGAGUUCACCAUUACAAAGAUCUCGUCGAGCUGAUCGAAAUGCAUAUAUUAUUUGUUAUAUUUGGACUUCGUAAUCAAAAGAUAUUAAUAAAAGAAAGACUCCACAUAAAAGAGCUGCGGGAUUAAUACGGGCCCAAAUCAGAUUUUGGUCCAUUAAGGCCUAUGUGCAUUUUAAUGAGAUAUGGUGGAAAGUUUAGUACACAUCGCCUGCUGAACCAAAAACGCACAAAGGAGGAGGACUAUAUAAGCAAGGCCCCUGGCCCCUGGAGGAGAACAUAUCAUUAUAGAGUUGAGAGGUGCCCUCGAAGGAUAACAUUUCCUCUAUAGAGAAUUAGGGCUAGACAUUCCAAUGUAGUAGAUUAGUUCUAGUCGGGAGUUAGGGAGAGCGGAGCUGCGCUUCGGUUCUGGAGAAGUCUUCAGAGUUUAUUGUAAGACUUAUGCUUUAAUAUAUUUAUCUUCUCUAUUUACUUUUAUGCCUUUAUUAUUAUCGAGUAGUGUAGUUGUUAUAUUUUGGCAUAGGAUCUCCGUUCGCAUCGAGUGCUCUAGUUAUUCAUGGUAAUUAGAGUAGUAAUCGUCAGUAUAGACGUGGUGUCUAUACUAGAGGUUACCUGAGGUUGCACCCAGUCCUGCAGAUUGUUGUGGUAGCCCUAGGUUAGUGACAGCCCUAACGGUCGACGUAUUCCACCUCGUUCGGAUCGGUAUUUGUAAGACCGUAGUCAGAGCUUCCCAGCCCCCUUCCAGUUCUCUUUCUAUGGUUGGUGCCCAAAGUCCUAAUAUGUGAUUGCUAUAUCUAUUCAUUCUUUGUUAUUAUAGAACUGAAGUAAUAGAGAAGUAUACAGGAACCCAGGUCUCUCCCGUUGUCCUCCCGCUAUGGCUAUCUACGCAUUUAUCAUAGAAUUCUCACCUUUAUAUUAUUACCUAUCAUAUAUCAUUUACCUCUACUUUAGUCUAGUUGGUUUAUUAAAUUAGUAGAUGCAUGAUAGUAAGUUAUCAGAUUCUUUGACCUUAGCUCCCCAGUGGUAAAAUAUAAAUAACGAUACCUCGAAUACUCUCGGUAAAAUGCUACAAUGAUGUUCUGUGCGCUUGCGGAAUUUUUCUUAUUCUUAUUGCACUUAACGAAUGUCAACAAGCAUUUUUGGCGCCGUUGCCGGGGAAGCAAUUGGUGUGAAGAUUUUGAUAAUAAUCUUGAUGUCUGCUAAUUUAAUGUAUCACUAGCUUUAGUAGGUUUAUUGUAUUUAUCUUUUCUGCAUUUGUUUUCAGCAUAUUUAUUUCUCCAUAACAUAUUUAUCUUUCUGCAUUAUUAUUGCAUUAAAAAAUAUAAUAAAAAUAUUUAUAUAACUCAUUGCAUCUUAAAUACUAAAACCCCAUGUGAAUAAAUUGUGUGGUGUGUAAAAUCCCACACGGAUAUUCACCGUGGUGGAAUAAAAAAAUAAAAAUAAAUAAACAUGCAUUCAUCCUAUUCCAUUUUCUUUUUGCUUCAUAGAAAGAUUAAAACCCAAAAAAAAUAUAUAUAUUGAGAAAGAUAUCUUGUUGAAACUCUGCUUAGAAAAAGAAUUAAGAAAAAUCAAAAAAGCUCGGACAACUAAGGCUUAAGUGGCCAACUAUUAAUGUUUAAUCGGUGCCACAAGUUUUGUUGUCUAUUUGAGUUUAACAUGAUUUAAAGAGAGAAACCCCAAUGAUCAAGAUAUCUUCAUCAACUUGGAAGUGCUACAAUCAUCACUGACAUUUUGAAGCUCAAGAAUAUUGAAGAACAUCUGUGUUGUGCGGAUUCAAGAUUAAAGACUAUGUCAACAUUCAGCUCGGGGGAAGCAAUCCCGUUAUCUUUGCGAUUCAGGCUUGAAGUAAAAGAGUGAAGAAUAACAAGGUAUGUCCAACCAAUCAUCAUGCAACAUUGAAUUAAAUUCAUCCAAACUUGACUUGUUCAAGCUGGGGGGAAUACCUUACACAAAAACAUCCUUUGCUAUGUUGUUAUGUUGGUUGUCCCUACCCUUAAGACAUGCUCAAAUUGUUAAACACUAAUCAUUCUAUUUCAUCCCCACUUGAGUAGAUCUCUAUAAUGUUGUCAUGCUACCUUUGUCUAUUCACAAGUAAGUGUUGGUUUGAAAGUACUCGACAUACUUCCAUUGGCAUUUAAAUUAAGCAUGGUGCUUAGGUUAAAUAGUCUUCCUUAAUCCGAUUAGACAUGGAGUCUAGUUUGGUUAUUGAACUAAAAACUGCUUGUGUAGACACUGGUAUAUUUUGUUGGACUAACCCCUGCAGGAUAAUUUUCAAUAUCGAUUUGAGAAGUCCUGAGAUAAAUUCAGAAUGGAGAUAAAGAAGGAGACACAUGAAGUUUAACAAUUUGCACAAGAAAGACAUAGCUCGAGAGAUAAUCCAUGGAACGAGACGAAGAGUGCCACGAACAAGAUGCACAACCAUUGAGAAAGAAAAGCUUCUACAAGGUGAUAUUGUACCAUCACUCUUCAAUUAAGGUAACAUCUUAAGGUAUGUGACUGUCACUGUUAUAAGCUUCUCCUUGAUUCUGGCAUGCAGUUGGAUAAAAAGACAAACAUGUAUGAUUUAUAACUCCAAAUUAACCAACCCAAUUGAUUCAACAUGUUUAGUCCUUUAAUCUUUGUUUCCAGUACUACCUUCUUGAUCCCACACUCUUAACCAUAUGAGCUAAAAUGUUGCACAUCCGAUCUUUGGAAAAUGAUAGUCAUGUAAAGAAAAAAACAUUACUUAGAUAGAUUAUCUUUCCAUAAGGUUGAGUGAUCUGAUCUGACAAAUGUUUUAAACGCUACACUCAUGAUCUUAUCAUCCAUCAACUUUGUCUUGCUCACUAUGCUUAAGGUUAGAGAAGAACAAAUACACUUUUGGUUCUAUUGGUGUUUUCCACCAACAAGGCCCAUGCACUUUAUCUCUGCCUUGUCUCUAUGAGCAGGAUACACUUCGAGCAAAACAUGGAGGAGUUUCCAACUCCUGGACUCUACCAAGUGAAGGACCUGGAUCUACGAGCACAAACACACUGAGGAGGAUGCUGCCAACGCCGUGCUUCGAACUGCUGGGCAAACGAAAAACAUGGGUGACACCGUAUCAAGAGGUGCAGAUGUCAAGGUCCACACCUAACUCAAAUGACGCACCUAAAGAAUAAACACGGUGAGAAUUCUUGUUCAGAAGACUUAAAAUAAUGAACCCUCGCCGAAAGGUAAAAUCGGUAGUUAUGCAUAUUUAUCCUUUCUGCAUUCCCUUCUUUCUUAAAUUAUUUACUUUCCUUAAAUAGCUUGUUAGUUAAUCAUGCUAUCUUGAAAAGAAAAUAAAAAUGUUAAAAACAGUAAGCCCCAUGUGAGUAUGCUCGUGGCACAAAACCCAUUCACUGUGGUGGCGUAAAAAUAAAAUAAAUAUAUUCUUGUCCUGUAAAAAUGAAAAUAUAAAAAUAAAUUUAUGAUCCUACUAAAGAGUAAUAUUUAUUAGAGGAAGCUCAACAUGAUAAAGGCUAAGAAAUUUUAUGCUAACACUUAACCAGUUCCACAAAGCUUUGUUGUCUACUUGAGCUCCACAGAAUUCAAGGAUCAAGAAAGACUAGCAGACGUAGGAUAUCCUAAUCGCUAUCAGGGUGCUGCCAACAUUCAAAUACACCUACGCCACCUGCUAGCUACAUCAGAAGAAAUUACAUUAAAAUCCAGCUUGGGGGAGAGCACCCCCAUUUAUCCAGCUAAGUGUUUCUACUCACAUUUAUACCUUACUCAAAUAAUAAAAAAAUACAUAAUCAUAAAAACUCAAUUAAACAUUUUAUGCUUAUAUAUAUCUUUGCUUAGUUUGCUAAAUAAAUAAAUAAAGUGUCUAUGCCAAACUGAACUUCAAUGAUAAACUCUUACAUGGAUAUGAUGAAUAGUUGCUCUGCCAAGUACCUAGUUUUCAAAUUUGAGCUCUCUCUCAAGUUUAGGCAUAACUAUUAUAAUUUAAAGCUUGCUCUAAACCUGAAUUUGUGGGAAGAGUACCUGAUCAAAAGUCUAAGUCGUUAACAGAUAUGAUAUGGGAAGGUUGGGCUGCUGUUUAUCGGUUCCUAGAGAUGCUAGAAUUCUGGAGAAUUUUAUCUUUAAAAAUCUUUAAAUUGUUGCAUGAUGAGUUCCUGUAUGAUGAGAGUUUUAAAAUCCUACCACAGCCAUAUAUACAAGCUUAUUAGACUAUGAACCAUACAUUUACUUUUUACUGCUUAUGAGCAUUGAGUGUGGUCAAGCUGUGUAGACCCUUAGAAGCUUGUCAUGCGGUUAAAAUCAAGAUUCACUUGCACGUUCACUCAUACAUGCUGCUUCUACUCUAGAAGUACACAUCUACAUACAUCCACUCAUUUCCAUAUCCAGAUUCACUCAAAAUUAUUCUACUCCUAUCUAGGAGAGAAUAGCCAAAAACAUUAUCUUAUCCCUGUUAUUCUCCGUGAAAUAAAUGCUCGAGAUAUUUUGAUUACUACCACUUGCUACAUUAUUCCAGGAGGGUGAGUGCUCUGAAAAAAGUGAAUACGAGGAAAUAAAAAGGGGCAAGUGCCUGAAACCUCGAAAAAAAAAAGAAGAAGAAGAAAAAGAAAAAGUGAGACGAGAGGUAAAAAUAGACAAGUGUCCGACAGUAGAAUUAGGGGUACAAGAUACCCACCUAAGAGAAAAGAAAAAUAAAAUAUAGAGCGUCUCAUUCCCCUCAAAAUCCUUAAGUGCAAGAAAGGUAUGUACCCCCUCAAAAGAGAAAAAGUAGAAUUAGACUUUCACCUUUAUUUUCACCAUUAUCACCAUUCAUUCGCCACACAUGCACAUCUUGAUUUGACUUAUUGACUUGUUCUUCUGGAUCCAUGGUUUGACUAUGCAAUAAGUGUCUUGUAAGUAUGUAUUAGCUGUAUCCCACCUAUGAGCUCCAGAUAUCAAAACCUUAUUAGAGUAGGGUGAGAGAGAAGGCAAUACCACUAUGCCUCAUACCAAAAAUACCACAUACUUUGAGAGAAGACAUACACCAUUACUGCCUUGGUAAGGAUCCAGAAAUACCACAAAAGAGAGACUAGAGAGAGUCAUACAAGGAAUCUCUGAGUUUUAUUUAAAAAUCUGCAAAAACUCCAGAGCUAUAGUUAAUCGAAGAACAAGUGACAUGGCGCUUGACUAGACCGUUCUAUCUUUUAACUCCUCAAGACAUAAGUGACGGUUGCAAGCCCCAUGGUAGAAGGUAAAAUGUGUAAGUUUAAAUCUUAACAGUUUACCCUAACCCAGAGAUGAGAUCUUGUUUGAACGCAUGUGUACCUUUAAGGCAUGAAACCACUGCAGAAACUCUUGAGUCCAUCUUUGCUCAGGGACGAGCAAAGGUUAAGCUUGGGGGAGCCUGUUGACGGUCCUUAAUGCUCACAUUUAACCAUCAACUAAUCAUGAAAAAGGAUCCAAAUGCAACCGACACACUUAGGGUUUCAUCUGAUAGAUUUUCAUGAGUUUUGGUGUUUGUCUAUUUCUGUAGGGGGUUAUCAGGUACGAAGGAAAGGCCCACACGUCGGGUUUACAUAGAGAAUUAAUGUGUGCGGUAAUUUUCCAUAAUCAGGAAGACUCUAGAAGCAACUCGACCGAAGCGGAGCCGAGAC